RNAcentral lists this ribosomal RNA (625 nucleotides) under uncultured bacterium. RNAcentral describes it as "bacterial SSU rRNA". It matches the Rfam family "Bacterial small subunit ribosomal RNA", at positions 227 to 851 of the family's 1533-position model. The record is from RNAcentral.
UGGCUCGCGUCCGAUUAGCUGGUUGGCGGGGUAACGGCCCACCAAGGCUACGAUCGGUAGGGGUUCUGAGAGGAAGGCCCCCCACAAUGGGACUGAGACACGGCCCAUACUCCUACGGGAGGCAGCAGUGAGGAAUAUUGGUCAAUGGGCGGAAGCCUGAACCAGCCAUGCCGCGUGCGGGAAGGAGGCCCUAUGGGCUGUGAACCGCUUUUGCCUGGGGGCAAUAAGGGCGUCGCGCACGUCCGAUGAGAGUACCAGGCGAAUAAGCAUCGGCUAACUCCGUGCCAGCAGCCGCGGUAAUACGGGGGAUGCGAGCGUUAUCCGGAUUCAUUGGGUUUAAAGGGUGCGUAGGCUGUGCGUCAAGUCGGGGGUGAAAUUCCGGUGCUCAACACCGGGGCUGCCCUUGAUACUGUCGCGCUGGAGUGCGGAUGCCGCCGGAGGAAUGAGUGGUGUAGCGGUGAAAUGCUUAGAUAUCACUCAGAACACCGAUUGCGAAGGCAUCUGGCGAAUCCGUAACUGACGCUGAGGCACGAAAGCGUGGGGAUAGAACAGGAUUAGAUACCCUGGUAUUCCACGCCGUAAACGAUGAUGGCUAACCGCCGGCGACACACUGUCGGUGGCCAAG